Molecule: long non-coding RNA, 213 nt
Filed under: Mytilus galloprovincialis (Mediterranean mussel)
Lineage: Eukaryota; Metazoa; Mollusca; Bivalvia; Mytilida; Mytilidae
Source: RNAcentral
UGCCUGUGCCAUUGAUAUAACUGUGUGCUUUUAUAGUUGUGGUAGCGGCUUAAAUUGUUCAUGAUGAUUCACAGAGAUAAACGAAACGUAUAGUGAACGUUUCAGUCACGUGGUUAGAAGGAGGAUUUCUCGAAUACUGUUUUUCAUCCCUUCCUUGUAUGUGAAUUUCAUUUCUAUUUUAUUUAUAGAAGGGUUUAGUAAAAUGUAACCAGU